AAUCUGCCCUUCACUAUGGGACAAGCCCUGGAAACGGGGUCUAAUACCGGAUAACACUUCCACUCUCCUGAGUGGUGGUUAAAAGCUCCGGCGGUGAAGGAUGAGCCCGCGGCCUAUCAGCUUGUUGGUGAGGUAAUGGCUCACCAAGGCGACGACGGGUAGCCGGCCUGAGAGGGCGACCGGCCACACUGGGACUGAGACACGGCCCAGACUCCUACGGGAGGCAGCAGUGGGGAAUAUUGCACAAUGGGCGAAAGCCUGAUGCAGCGACGCCGCGUGAGGGAUGACGGCCUUCGGGUUGUAAACCUCUUUCAGCAGGGAAGAAGCGAAAGUGACGGUACCUGCAGAAGAAGCGCCGGCUAACUACGUGCCAGCAGCCGCGGUAAUACGUAGGGCGCAAGCGUUGUCCGGAAUUAUUGGGCGUAAAGAGCUCGUAGGCGGCUUGUCACGUCGGGUGUGAAAGCCCGGGGCUUAACCCCGGGUCUGCAUUCGAUACGGGCUAGCUAGAGUGUGGUAGGGGAGAUCGGAAUUCCUGGUGUAGCGGUGAAAUGCGCAGAUAUCAGGAGGAACACCGGUGGCGAAGGCGGAUCUCUGGGCCAUUACUGACGCUGAGGAGCGAAAGCGUGGGGAGCGAACAGGAUUAGAUACCCUGGUAGUCCACGCCGUAAACGGUGGGAACUAGGUGUUGGCGA
Molecule: ribosomal RNA, 692 nt
Filed under: Streptomyces sp. GLT-Irr-13
Lineage: Bacteria; Bacillati; Actinomycetota; Actinomycetes; Kitasatosporales; Streptomycetaceae
Description: bacterial SSU rRNA
Rfam family: Bacterial small subunit ribosomal RNA
Source: RNAcentral